Molecule: transfer RNA, 69 nt
Filed under: Marmota monax (woodchuck)
Lineage: Eukaryota; Metazoa; Chordata; Mammalia; Rodentia; Sciuridae
Description: tRNA.Ala
Source: RNAcentral
GGAAUAUAGCUCAGUGGUAGAACAUUUGCUUGGCAUACAAAGGGCCCUAGAUUCAACCCCCAGUACCCA